UUAGAGGAAGUAAAAGUCGUAACAAGGUUUCCGUAGGUGAACCUGCGGAAGGAUCAUUACCGAGUACGGGCUCCCUUGUCGGGGCCCGACCUCUUCACCGUGCUGCAUCGGACCCUGUUGCUUCAGCGGGCUGGAAGGUGAUGCUCGCCAUCAUCUUUCACCGUCAUGCCCGCUGGAGACCCAUUUAAUGCUGAAACAAUGCCGUCUGAGUGGGAAUUCAAAUCUAGUCGCAAAACUUUCAACAAUGGAUCUCUUGGUUCCGGCAUCGAUGAAGAACGCAGCGAAAUGCGAUAAGUAAUGUGAAUUGCAGAAUUCCGUGAAUCAUCGAAUCUUUGAACGCAUAUUGCGCCCUCUGGUAUUCCAGAGGGCAUGCCUGUCCGAGUGUCAUUGCCUCUCUCCAAGCUCCGCUUGGGUGUUGGGCUGUCGUCCCGCGCCCCCUCCCAGGGGGCGGGGACGGGCCUGAAAGACAACGGCGGUGUCACGAUCGAUCCCCGAGCGUAUGGGUUUUCCCCGCUCUAUGGGCUUGAUGGGACACUUGCUUUUCCCCUGCGGUGUUGACCCCAGUGGACCUCGGAUCAGGUAAGGAUACCCGCUGAACUUAAGCAUAUCAAUAA
RNAcentral lists this ribosomal RNA (614 nucleotides) under Elaphomyces morettii. RNAcentral's name for it is "eukaryotic LSU rRNA". The stretch from base 234 to 387 matches the Rfam family "5.8S ribosomal RNA". The record is from RNAcentral. Lineage: Eukaryota; Fungi; Ascomycota; Eurotiomycetes; Eurotiales; Elaphomycetaceae.